CACUCACACACGAAGGACAGGGCAUAUGCACACACACUCACACGCACACACGAAGGACAGGGCAUAUGCCCACACAAACACACACACACACGAAGGACAGUGUGUUGCUACACUGUAAAACCAAACAGUUCUACUAACUUAUUAACAUUAUCUAGGGUUAGGGUUAUUAACAUUAUCUAUUCAGUACUUAAAACCUGGUAUUGAGUUGACCCAACUUUAAAUGUAUUAGUUUUCUGAGCAAGUUUACUUGAGUAAACAUUACCUGAUAACUAAUAUUAUUUUUAGUAUCAUUCAAACGUGACGUCUGACGUCAUCAACGUCGUUGCAGGACUAGUUCAGAACAGAAUCAGAGACACGAUUGCGGAGAUCUUGUGAUGAGAGACGGAGACAGCAGACUUAAUAAAUGUUUAGCAUCAGUUAGACUUCUAUAAGCACGUUCCUCCUGUAGAAGAGGAGUCGACCGAAGGAGAUAUUUUAGUAAUCCUGUCGCUGCUAAGCGUCCUUAUCUGGGUUAUUCAGUUCCACCGCAUUACAAAUGUGAACCUGCGCAACACAUUCUACUCAGAGCUUGACCGAUACACACCACGACUGAUCAUUCUACUCGGAGCUUGACAGAUACACACCACGACUGAUCACCUUGUACAGGCAGAAGGCAUCACGGACUGGCAAGACAGCAGAGGUGCUACGGGUGAUCCUCGAGGCUUAUGACCUUCAGGAAUAUCAUGAUGUCAAUUUGAGACGCACUUUGUCCCUUUGUGCACUUCCUGUCUACCUGCGUGAGGAUGUUUCGGUGUUCAAGACCUGCAAUGAGGAAGAGGAGCCAGAUUUCGAUGAUGCUCCUGUUGCUCUCCUUACAUCGGGUCCCGACCCCUUCAGCUGCGGGGAACGUCUUUGUCGUUGUUGAAGGCAAUGUUGUUUUGAAUGGGGUGCAGAGGUUUUCUGAGGCAUUUAUGUUUAUGUUGUUUGGCCUGACAUAUGCUUUCAAUUUAGAAUAUCCCCAAAAAAACUCACGCACACAUUCUCAUGCAUACAGAAAAUUUGUAUGUGUCUGGAUGACAACAAACCUCUGAAACUGUCUUUCUUCAGCGUUGCAAUAAUGUUAACUUCUGCUAGCGAUGCAAAUCCUAUGAAGACGGCUGGAAGGGCAUUCAAGUGGAAGUGUAGUGCUACUGUUGAGGUCGUGUAGGUCGCUGAGAGGGAUGUUAAAACUUACUCUUCAAAACCAAACUCUCACAAAGUUAACGUCAUCCCUUUCAGCGACCUACACGACCUAAACAGCAGCAGCACUACACACACACUUGAAUGCUUUACACACACACUUGAAUGCUCUACACAAACCUUAUAAUCCUUAAUAAACAAUAAACAAUAAACAACAUCAACAGCAGCACUACACACACACUUGAAUGCUCUUCCUGCCGUCUUCAUACGCGUCGAUAGAUAGAUAGAUGCGUUGCCUAUAUGCGUCGGUAUGCACCUUCAAAAGAGAUUUGUUGAACUAAACGAUUUGUUGUUGAUUUGUUAACUUUGUUACGCUGUUCUUUAAAGCUUUGAUGCAAUCUUUUGUUUUGUAAGUAGUUUUACAAGAAAAAUAAAUAAUGUGAUACAUCUUAAGUUUUUCUCAUCUCACUCUUUUUAAUAGAAAUCUUACAUAGAUUUGAAUGUUUCUUGUAGAGUAACUUUCAGUUUAAAGUCAGUUUGUAAAC
This is a long non-coding RNA of Clupea harengus (Atlantic herring), 1703 nucleotides long. NCBI's taxonomy places the organism in Eukaryota, Metazoa, Chordata, Actinopteri, Clupeiformes, Clupeidae. The record is from Ensembl.